UACGGAAGGCAGCAGUGGGGAAUAUUGCACAAUGGGCGCAAGCCUGAUGCAGCCAUGCCGCGUGUAUGAAGAAGGCCUUCGGGUUGUAAAGUACUUUCAGUCGUGAGGAAGGUGUUAAGGUUAAUAACCUUAGCAAUUGACGUUAGCGACAGAAGAAGCACCGGCUAACUCCGUGCCAGCAGCCGCGGUAAUACGGAGGGUGCGAGCGUUAAUCGGAAUUACUGGGCGUAAAGGGCACGCAGGCGGUUAAUUAAGUUGGAUGUGAAAUCCCCGGGCUUAACCUGGGAAUGGCAUUCAAGACUGGUUAGCUAGAGUCUUGUAGAGGGGGUAGAAUUCCAUGUGUAGCGGUGAAAUGCGUAGAGAUGUGGAGGAAUACCGGUGGCGAAGGCGGCCCCUGGGACAAAGACUGACGCUCAUGUGCGAAAGCGUGGGGAGCAAACGAGGGAUUAGA
This 451-nucleotide ribosomal RNA is filed under the name uncultured bacterium. RNAcentral describes it as "bacterial SSU rRNA". It matches the Rfam family "Bacterial small subunit ribosomal RNA", at positions 340 to 782 of the family's 1533-position model. The record is from RNAcentral.